RNAcentral lists this ribosomal RNA (254 nucleotides) under uncultured bacterium. Its description in RNAcentral is "partial 16S ribosomal RNA". It matches the Rfam family "Bacterial small subunit ribosomal RNA", at positions 524 to 776 of the family's 1533-position model. The record is from RNAcentral.
UACGAAGGGGACUAGCGUUGUUCGGAUUUACUGGGCGUAAAGCGCGCGUAGGCGGAUCGCUAAGUCAGGGGUGAAAUCCCAGGGCUCAACCCUGGAACUGCCUUUGAUACUGACGGUCUGGAGAUCGGGAGAGGUUGGUGGAAUUCCGAGUGUAGAGGUGAAAUUCGUAGAUAUUCGGAGGAACACCAGAAGCGAAGGCGGCCAACUGGCCCGAUACUGACGCUGAGUGCGCGAAAGCCAGGGGAGCGAACGGG